AGAACAAUGUGGAAUGUUGGCUUC
This 24-nucleotide non-coding RNA is filed under the name Arabidopsis thaliana (thale cress). Lineage: Eukaryota; Viridiplantae; Streptophyta; Magnoliopsida; Brassicales; Brassicaceae. The record is from RNAcentral.